GGCACAGUAGUCUAAUGGUAUGACUCCUGCUAUGUAAUGUCCUGCUGUUUUCAGACAGAGAGUGGGUGAUCUGGGUUCAAUUCCUGGCUGUGCCG
This is a non-coding RNA of Tirmania nivea, 95 nucleotides long. NCBI's taxonomy places the organism in Eukaryota, Fungi, Ascomycota, Pezizomycetes, Pezizales, Pezizaceae. The record is from the annotation of a GenBank genome assembly.